Molecule: ribosomal RNA, 433 nt
Filed under: uncultured bacterium
Lineage: Bacteria
Description: partial 16S ribosomal RNA
Rfam family: Bacterial small subunit ribosomal RNA
Source: RNAcentral
AACGAACGCUGGCGGCAUGCCUAACACAUGCAAGUCGAACGAGACCUUCGGGUCUAGUGGCGCACGGGUGCGUAACGCGUGGGAACCUGCCCUUAGGUUCGGAAUAACUCCCCGAAAGGGGUGCUAAUACCGGAUAAUGUCUUCGGACCAAAGAUUUAUCGCCUUUGGAUGGGCCCGCGUGGGAUUAGCUAGUUGGUAGGGUAAAAGCCUACCAAGGCGACGCUCCAUAGCUGGUCUGAGAGGAUGAUCAGCCACACUGGGACUGAGACACGGCCCAGACUCCUACGGGAGGCAGCAGUGGGGAAUAUUGGACAAUGGGCGAAAGCCUGAUCCAGCAAUGCCGCGUGAGUGAUGAAGGCCUUAGGGUUGUAAAGCUCUUUUACCCGGGAUGAUAAUGACAGUACCGGGAGAAUAAGCUCCGGCUAACUCCGUG